Molecule: ribosomal RNA, 440 nt
Filed under: uncultured bacterium
Lineage: Bacteria
Description: partial 16S ribosomal RNA
Rfam family: Bacterial small subunit ribosomal RNA
Source: RNAcentral
CCUACGGGUGGCAGCAGUGGGGAAUAUUGCACAAUGGGGGAAACCCUGAUGCAGCGACGCCGCGUGAGUGAAGAAGUAUUUCGGGAUGUAAAGCUCUAUCAGCAGGGAAGAAAAUGACGGUACCUGAUUAAGAAGCCCCGGCUAACUACGUGCCAGCAGCCGCGGCAAUACGUAGGGGGCAAGCGUUAUCCGGAUUUACUGGGUGUAAAGGGAGCGUAGACGGCAGCACAAGUCUGGAGUGAAAUGCCGGGGCUUAACCCCGGAACUGCUUUGGAAACUGUGCAGCUAGAGUGCAGGAGAGGUCAGUGGAAUUCCUAGUGUAGCGGUGAACUGCGUAGUUAUUAGGCGGAACCCCAGUGGCGAAGGCGGCUUACUGGACUGUAACUGACGUUGAGGCUCGAAAGCGUGGGGAGCAAACCGGAUUAGAUACCCUUGUAGUC